CUUGUACUCCCUCCGUCCGAAAAUACUUGUCAUUGAAAUGGAUGUAUCUAGAUGUAUUUUAGUUCUAUACACAUCCAUUUUGAUGACAAGUAAUUCUGGACGGAGGGAGUACUUG
Molecule: non-coding RNA, 115 nt
Organism: Triticum aestivum (bread wheat)
Lineage: Eukaryota; Viridiplantae; Streptophyta; Magnoliopsida; Poales; Poaceae
Source: Rfam